Molecule: ribosomal RNA, 427 nt
Filed under: uncultured beta proteobacterium
Lineage: Bacteria; Pseudomonadati; Pseudomonadota; Betaproteobacteria
Description: bacterial SSU rRNA
Rfam family: Bacterial small subunit ribosomal RNA
Source: RNAcentral
UGGGGAAUUUUGGACAAUGGGCGAAAGCCUGAUCCAGCCAUGCCGCGUGAGUGAAGAAGGCCUUCGGGUUGUAAAGCUCUUUUAGUCGGAAAGAAAGAGUUGCAAUGAAUAAUUGUGAUUUAUGACGGUACCGACAGAAAAAGCACCGGCUAACUACGUGCCAGCAGCCGCGGUAAUACGUAGGGUGCGAGCGUUAAUCGGAAUUACUGGGCGUAAAGGGUGCGCAGGCGGUCUUGUAAGUCAGAUGUGAAAGCCCCGGGCUUAACCUGGGAAUUGCGUUUGAAACUGCAAGGCUAGAGUGCAGCAGAGGGGAGUGGAAUUCCAUGUGUAGCAGUGAAAUGCGUAGAGAUGUGGAAGAACACCGAUGGCGAAGGCAGCUCCCUGGGUUGACACUGACGCUCAUGCACGAAAGCGUGGGGAGCAAACA